GAUAUACUCCCUCCGUCCCAAAUUUUUUGUCUUAGAUUUAUUUAGAUAUGAAUGUAUCUAGUCAAGUUUUAGUAUUUUGAUACAUCCAUUUCUAGACAAAGCUAAGACAAGAAUUGUGAGACGGAGGGAGUAUGUA
RNAcentral lists this microRNA precursor (136 nucleotides) under Hordeum vulgare. Its description in RNAcentral is "microRNA MIR1122". It matches the Rfam family "MIR1120/MIR1122 microRNA precursor family". The record is from RNAcentral. Lineage: Eukaryota; Viridiplantae; Streptophyta; Magnoliopsida; Poales; Poaceae.